UCUCUUGUUAAAUUUUUCCCAGCUACUUUCUUGUAGAUGCUAGAGGCAUCAAAAAUUAACCAAUCAGGGUUCAGGUCGAGUUUGUGGUUUGUAAUAAUGAAUCCAAGUUAGCUGAGAAAAAAACUUUAUAGCUACUGUCAGUGUGAUAAGUUUUAUUAAUUGAAAGCAGUGGAGUUCGUUCAUUUGGUUUGGCCUUAAAUUGCAAAAAUGGCCGGAAAUUACAACUUUAGUGAUUUAGCUUACAUGCACUUUAUCUAUGGUCAAGUUGAAUGCAACAGCAGAGCUGCAGUGAGGUUAUAUCAAGAAAGAUUCCCUAAUCGCCGCGUUCCCCAUCGUAGUGUAGUUUCCAAUGUUAACCGUCGGCUUCGCGAAUUUGGAAAUUUGAGGCCAAUCAAUGUGGACAGAGUUGCACUCAUAUCAUAUUAAUCGCGAGAAGGCGGGAGUUUUGUGAAUAGCUGUUGCAAAGGAAUAAUGAAGAUUCACAAUUCACAUUUAACCUUUGUUUUUCAGACGAAGCAAACUUUUCAAGGAAUGGGAUGUUAAAUCUAAGAAUCCCGGAAAGUUUUACGAAAAUAUGACAUUGAAACGUGUCCAUUCAAUCCAAACCAUUUAGUGGUUUUGAUGUACGAGGGAAAACCAUAUAUGUAAGUGUCAUAGAAAUGAAAAAAAAAAGAAGAGGAGAAAAAAAAUGAGACGGAAGAG
Tribolium madens (black flour beetle) is the source of this 702-nucleotide long non-coding RNA. RefSeq lists it as uncharacterized. The transcript is spliced from 3 exons. NCBI's taxonomy places the organism in Eukaryota, Metazoa, Arthropoda, Insecta, Coleoptera, Tenebrionidae. The record is from RefSeq and is a predicted model, not a curated record.